This 720-nucleotide ribosomal RNA is filed under the name uncultured Methanosarcinaceae archaeon. Its description in RNAcentral is "SSU rRNA". It matches the Rfam family "Archaeal small subunit ribosomal RNA", at positions 123 to 841 of the family's 1478-position model. The record is from RNAcentral. Lineage: Archaea; Methanobacteriati; Methanobacteriota; Methanomicrobia; Methanosarcinales; Methanosarcinaceae.
GGGAUAACCCCGGGAAACUGGGGAUAAUAUCGGAUAACGCAUAUGUGCUGGAAUGCUUUAUGCGUAAAAUGGAUUCGUCCGCCCAAGGAUGGGUCUGCGGCCUAUCAGGUAGUAGUGGGUGUAAUGUACCUACUAGCCAACAACGGGUACGGGUUGUGAGAGCAAGAGCCCGGAGAUGGAUUCUGAGACAUGAAUCCAGGCCCUACGGGGCGCAGCAGGCGCGAAAACUUUACAAUGCGGGAAACCGUGAUAAGGGAACACCGAGUGCCAGCAUCAUAUGCUGGCUGUCCAGAUGUGUAAACUACAUCUGUUAGCAAGGGCCGGGCAAGACCGGUGCCAGCCGCCGCGGUAACACCGGCGGCCCGAGUGGUGACCGUUAUUAUUGGGUCUAAAGGGUCCGUAGCCGGUUUGGUCAAUCCUCCGGGAAAUCUGAUAGCUUAACUGUUAGGCUUUCGGGGGAUACUGCCAGGCUUGGAACCGGGAGAGGUAAGAGGUACUACAGGUGUAGGAGUGAAACCUUGUAAUCCCUGUGAGACCACCUGUGGCGAAGGCGUCUUACCAGAACGGGUUCGACGGUGAGGGACGAAAGCUGGGGGCACGAACCGGAUUAGAUACCCGGGUAGUCCCAGCCGUAAACUAUGCUCGCUAGGUGUCAGGCAUGGCGCGACCGUGUCUGGUGCCGCAGGGAAGCCGUGAAGCGAGCCACCUGAGAAGUCCGCC